This 333-nucleotide long non-coding RNA is filed under the name Rattus norvegicus (Norway rat). RNAcentral's name for it is "long non-coding RNA NONRATT030703". The record is from RNAcentral. Lineage: Eukaryota; Metazoa; Chordata; Mammalia; Rodentia; Muridae.
GAGGCCAUCAGUGCCUUGAAAGGGAAGAUCGUAGCCCACAGCCGCGAAGGUGAAUGGCAGAAUCAGUGUAUCCGAAACGACAAGGAGCUGGUCCACGUGCAGCUUCGAAAACUUAAGAUCCAGAGGACCCAGGCCCGGACCGAAUCUCAGGAGAACUUAGUCAAACUCACCCUGGAAAGUAACGCCACCCUCAAGGCCCUGAAAAAGGUUGUGGAGAAGUCAUUGGGAUUUUCGGCUUCCUGAGUACCCCCUCUCUGCUUCGCAGAGGGCCUUUUUCUCCGUGUCUGCUGCACGUUUGUGGUUUCCUCAAUAAACACCGUCUGUCAUCUCCUU